RNAcentral lists this long non-coding RNA (876 nucleotides) under Linum usitatissimum (flax). RNAcentral's name for it is "long non-coding RNA (LUSI_LNC003451)". Lineage: Eukaryota; Viridiplantae; Streptophyta; Magnoliopsida; Malpighiales; Linaceae. The record is from RNAcentral.
CUUAUGAUUAUAAGUGACUACUAAAGUACAAGGUUUAUCGACCAAAGUUGAGAGAGAACCAAUGGACCAUGCAUCUUUAACUAGCUUACACCAACUAUUAUCUAACUCCUGAAUGACACAAUCAAAAGGAUCGCCUUAACACCUCUUCAUGCUACCAGGAGCUAAGCUGGAACAUGAAACAUCAUGGCUAGGGUUGAGGGGGAAACUGGCUAGUGUUGAGCGAGAAACCCAUGACGAACCAAAUGUCCUCAGUCUAAUAGUAGCAAAAACAAUGAAACUUUGUAUGAUGCUUCCAGAUCAUCAGUGAAAUUGCUUGAAACUCAGCUCGCACCUACACAGAUGCACAAUCAUUAUACAUGUCCAAAUUAUUUAUACUUAAGCUAACCAAAUCAACAAUAUUGAAAUCCUAUACAAUUUGAAACAUACCAUUCUUUUUAUUAUCAACAUCAAGUGUGGUACCCUUACUAACCAGUCCCGUAAAACCCUCAAUCCGGCAACUCUAAUCAAUGCAAACAAUAGGCAUCGUUACCCAUAAUUAAAUACAAAGAAAAAUACUGAAAUUUUAAAACUUGUAUAAUCUAAUAGCAUCAGUAAACCGGCUAAUACAUUACAUACCAUCUCCAUAGCACAUUAUGCUGUCAUGACGCUCCAAUUAAGCCUAAAACACACAAAAUUUUAGUUCUUGGAUCAAGACUGAUUAGAUAUCAGCUUUACUAGAUGUUUUGGAUGAUAUAAUUAUGAGAAAUGAGACUGAGGGCACGUCGAGUAUCCCAAUACAUAGUAGAUAGUGAUGUGAUUUUAAUGAAAAAUAAUAUAGCAAAUACUCAAUUUUGACCAUGGAUGAAUUGUAUAAUACAUGAAUAGAUGAUUAAGGGG